UCGAACGAGAGAAUUGCUAGCUUGCUAAUAAUUCUCUAGUGGCGCACGGGUGAGUAACACGUGAGUAACCUGCCCCCGAGAGCGGGAUAGCCCUGGGAAACUGGGAUUAAUACCGCAUAGUAUCGAAAGAUUAAAGCAGCAAUGCGCUUGGGGAUGGGCUCGCGGCCUAUUAGUUAGUUGGUGAGGUAACGGCUCACCAAGGCGAUGACGGGUAGCCGGUCUGAGAGGAUGUCCGGCCACACUGGAACUGAGACACGGUCCAGACACC
This 268-nucleotide ribosomal RNA is filed under the name uncultured Akkermansia sp. RNAcentral describes it as "partial 16S ribosomal RNA". It matches the Rfam family "Bacterial small subunit ribosomal RNA", at positions 62 to 339 of the family's 1533-position model. Lineage: Bacteria; Pseudomonadati; Verrucomicrobiota; Verrucomicrobiia; Verrucomicrobiales; Akkermansiaceae. The record is from RNAcentral.